RNAcentral lists this ribosomal RNA (1448 nucleotides) under metagenome. RNAcentral describes it as "bacterial LSU rRNA". It matches the Rfam family "Bacterial large subunit ribosomal RNA", at positions 1398 to 2925 of the family's 2925-position model. The record is from RNAcentral.
GAGGCCUAACGGCGUAGCCGAUGCACAGACGGUAGAGAUUCCGUCACCACCAAAAGAGUUAAGCACAGGGACACAUAUGAAGUCUCGGAGCCGGGUGUUGGUUCCGGUAGCGAUCGAGGGAAGUUAGUACCGAAGUCCGGGAUGGAAGAUGGCAAGAAAAGCUGUGUGUAUUUCUGCGGUGCCCGUACCGCAAGCCGACACAGGUAGGUAGGAAGAAGAUUCUAAGGCCAACGGGAGAAGGGUUGUUAAGGAACUCGGCAAAUUGACCCCGUAACUUCGGGAGAAGGGGUGCUGCAGCAAUGCAGCCGCAGAGAAUCGGCCCAAGCAACUGUUUACCAAAAACACAGGUUUGUGCUAAAUCGAAAGAUGACGUAUACGAGCUGACGCCUGCCCGGUGCUGGAAGGUUAAGAGGAGAUGUGCAAGCAUUGAAUCGAAGCCCCAGUGAACGGCGGCCGUAACGAUAACGGUCCUAAGGUAGCGAAAUUCCUUGUCAGGUAAGUUCUGACCCGCAUGAAAGGCGUAAUGAUUUGGGCACUGUCUCAACAGCCCGCCCGGCGAAAUUGUAGUACCGGUGAAGAUGCCGGUUACCCGCGACAAGACGGAAAGACCCCAUGGAGCUUUACUGUAGCCUAAUAUUGGGUUUCGAUGAUGCAUGCACAGGAUAGAUGGGACACAGGGAAGCAGGUGCUUUGGCGCUUGUGGAGUGGCCGUUGGGAUACCAUCCUUGCGAUAUUGGAAUUCUAACCUGCGCCUUUGAAUCAAGGCGGGGGACAUUGUUAGGUGGGCAGUUUGACUGGGGCGGUCGCCUCCUAAAGAGUAACGGAGGCGUUCAAAGGUUCGCUCAGCUUGAACGGAAAUCAAGCAAAAGAGUGCAAACGCAGAAGCGAGCCUAACUGCGAGACUGACGGGUCGAGCAGUAACGAAAGUUGGAGUUAGUGAUCCGGUGGUAUGUGAGUGGAAAUGCCAUCGCUCAACGGAUAAAAGUUACCCUGGGGAUAACAGGCUGAUCUCCCCCAAGAGUCCACAUCGACGGGGAGGUUUGGCACCUUGAUGUCGGCUCAUCGCAUCCUGGGGCUGUAUUCGGUCCCAAGGGUUUGGCUGUUCGCCAAUUAAAGCGGUACGCGAGCUGGGUUCAGAACGUCGUGAGACAGUUCGGUCCCUAUCUGUCGUGGGCGCAGGAUAUUUGAUGGGAGCUGUUCCUAGUACGAGAGGACCGGAGCGGACGUACCUCUGGCGCACCAGUUGUUCUGCCAAGAGCAUAGCUGGGCAACUAUGUACGGAUCGGAUAAACGCUGAAAGCAUCUAAGCGUGAAGCCGACCCAAAGAUAAGAUAUCCCAUUGUUUUAAACAAGUAAGACCCCUUGAAGACUACAAGGUUGAUAGGCACGAUGUGUAAGUGGAGCGAUCCAUUCAGCAAGCGUGUACUAAUAGGCCGAGGGCUUGACCG